GGGGGCGACUGGCUUCGACGGGUCAGGAGAAUGUGGAGACGCGUGCCCAGGACCAGGCCCUGGUAAAACACUUGGAAAAUUUUAUCUGCCAACUCUAACUUGGCAUUGGCUGCGUAAGCUGAGCUAAGCUCGCUUACCGCACCACCGGAGAAGGGAGCCUGCCUGGGGCGCCUCAACCGGACCGCAAAUUCAGGCUGGCUCGUGGCGGCGUCCUCACGUCCCGAGUAAGAAAACGAGGGCUCGGCUCGACGAAGGAUGGCCGGUAGCCGGCGUCGGACUAGCGCACGAAGAUCGGCCUACGCACGUAGUGGCUUUGCUGGAUGCUGAUUCGGACCAGGGUUCGAUUCCCUGCGCCUCCAUUG
Molecule: transfer-messenger RNA, 362 nt
Filed under: Gemmatimonadales
Lineage: Bacteria; Pseudomonadati; Gemmatimonadota; Gemmatimonadia
Also listed under: 1 other name
Description: JABFSM01 sp009692115 Standard tmRNA
Rfam family: transfer-messenger RNA
About the family: Bacterial tmRNA, also known as 10Sa RNA or SsrA, is named for its dual tRNA and mRNA-like properties. Its role is to liberate the mRNA from a stalled ribosome. To accomplish this part of the tmRNA is used as a reading frame that ends in a translation stop signal.
Source: RNAcentral